RNAcentral lists this ribosomal RNA (252 nucleotides) under uncultured Bacteroidales bacterium. RNAcentral's name for it is "partial 16S ribosomal RNA". It matches the Rfam family "Bacterial small subunit ribosomal RNA", at positions 524 to 776 of the family's 1533-position model. The record is from RNAcentral. Lineage: Bacteria; Pseudomonadati; Bacteroidota; Bacteroidia; Bacteroidales.
UACGGAGGAUGCGAGCGUUAUCCGGAUUUAUUGGGUUUAAAGGGUGCGUAGGCGGAUCGUUAAGUCAGUGGUCAAAUUGAGGGGCUCAACCCCUUCCCGCCAUUGAAACUGGCGAUCUUGAGUGGAAGAGAAGUAUGCGGAAUGCGUGGUGUAGCGGUGAAAUGCAUAGAUAUCACGCAGAACUCCGAUCGCGAAGGCAGCUUACCAGACUGUAACUGACGCUGAAGCACGAGAGCGUGGGUAGCAAACAGG